ACUUUACUAUGAUUAAUUUGUUGCAUGAUCCGUGUUUCACCUGAAUCCUAGUGAUUAUACACAUGCUCUGAGUAAGAU
RNAcentral lists this small nucleolar RNA (78 nucleotides) under Hucho hucho (huchen). Its description in RNAcentral is "Small nucleolar RNA SNORD126 (ENSHHUG00000005312.1)". The record is from RNAcentral. Lineage: Eukaryota; Metazoa; Chordata; Actinopteri; Salmoniformes; Salmonidae.